RNAcentral lists this small nucleolar RNA (133 nucleotides) under Mus musculus (house mouse). RNAcentral describes it as "Small nucleolar RNA SNORA48". It matches the Rfam family "Small nucleolar RNA SNORA48". From Rfam's summary of the family: The snoRNA ACA 48 has been identified to guide pseudouridylation of the residue U3797 in the 28S rRNA subunit. Its host gene EIF4A1 (eukaryotic translation initiation factor 4A1) is shared with U67 and snoRNA mgU6-77 Lineage: Eukaryota; Metazoa; Chordata; Mammalia; Rodentia; Muridae. The record is from Rfam by way of RNAcentral.
CCCCCUGUCAAUGGGCAAAGAGGCACCUUGUUAGUGGUGUUGUUCUUAGGACAGAGCAGAUGGCAGUUCUUUGUUCAUCCUAGCUUGAUGCUUGGAUUUGUAGCCAAAUGUGUUUUAUGCCUAGGACUCGUAC